AGUUGUAAAAAGGAGAAAGCAAAAUCGGAGCGCUCUCUCUCCAGUGUAACAAUUUCGGUGACUACAUUACCCAAGCUUCUCUUUGCCUUUAAGCCCAGCCUUUCUGGAGUAUCUCGUGGCUUAUUGGUUCUGGAGUCUUGGCGUUCGGUCGGGCUUCUGGCUCCCAUUGGUGGGCUGCGGCUGCCACUCAGGGUUGCCACAGUAACCCGGUGACACGCGCGCACACACACACACACCCGCGCAAGAUUGGCCAAGGCGGCGAUCGGGACCCGGUGGAGCCCUGCAGCCUCGCUCACGACUUGGUCUCUUUGCCGCCGCUUGCGAGCCAGGGGGGGAUCCGGAGUACACAGCCUCCCUGAGGGUACCUGUGUUAGCCGAGUGAGCGCUCGGGAUGAUGGCUAAGAUCAACCUCGGCGGAGGUCGCUUCUUUCGGAUUGAUCCAUUCGGAUUAGAAGUGACCGCGGGUUCAACGGCGGUGCCAGUAGGGGAAAAAAGAGAAGACAUCAACCAUCUAUCCAGUGAUCUGGAGGAAAGAGGGAAGAGAUUACUUGUGUGCUGACAUUCUAUCAGUGACUGGCCUUUUGCUCAAAAAAAUAAAAUACAAUGGACUCUUAUUACA
Molecule: non-coding RNA, 619 nt
Organism: Pogona vitticeps (central bearded dragon)
Lineage: Eukaryota; Metazoa; Chordata; Lepidosauria; Squamata; Agamidae
Source: RefSeq, a predicted model, not a curated record